RNAcentral lists this ribosomal RNA (672 nucleotides) under uncultured bacterium. RNAcentral's name for it is "bacterial SSU rRNA". It matches the Rfam family "Bacterial small subunit ribosomal RNA", at positions 202 to 859 of the family's 1533-position model. The record is from RNAcentral.
AGCGGGGGAUCGCAAGACCUCGCGCGGACGGAGCGGCCGAUGGCAGAUUAGGUAGUUGGUGGGAUAAAAGCUUACCAAGCCGACGAUCUGUAGCUGGUCUGAGAGGACGACCAGCCACACUGGGACUGGGACACGGCCCAGACUCCUACGGGAGGCAGCAGUGGGGAAUUUUGGACAAUGGGCGAAAGCCUGAUCCGGCAAUGCCGCGUGCAGGAUGAAGGCCUUCGGGUUGUAAACUGCUUUUGUACGGAACGAAAAGACUCUGGUUAAUACCUGGGGUUCAUGACGGUACCGUAAGAAUAAGCACCGGCUAACUACGUGCCAGCAGCCGCGGUAAUACGUAGGGUGCAAGCGUUAAUCGGAAUUACUGGGCGUAAAGCGUGCGCAGGCGGUGAUGUAAGACAGAUGUGAAAUCCCCGGGCUCAACCUGGGAACUGCAUUAGUGACUGCAUCGCUGGAGUGCGGCAGAGGGGGAUGGAAUUCCGCGUGUAGCAGUGAAAUGCGUAGAUAUGCGGAGGAACGCCGAUGGCGAAGGCAAUCCCCUGGGCCUGCACUGACGCUCAUGCACGAAAGCGUGGGGAGCAAACAGGAUUAGAUACCCUGGUAGUCCACGCCCUAAACUAUGUCAACUGGUUGUUGGGAAUUCACUUUCUCAGUAACGAAGCUAACGCG